AGGAUGAACGCUGACGGCGUGCUUAAGACAUGCAAGUCGAACGCAGACCCGGUAGCAAUACUGGGACUGAGUGGCGAAUGGGUGCGUAACACGUAGGUGACCUGCCCUGAAGUGGGGAAUAACAGUCCGAGAGGACUGCUAAUACCGCAUGCGGUUCGGCCGGUUAGAGGCGGCUCAACCAAAGGUCGCAAGAUCGCUUCAGGAGGGGCCUGCGGCCCAUCAGCUAGUUGGUAGGGUAACGGCCUACCAAGGCGACGACGGGUAGGGGACCUGAGACGGGUGCCCCCGACAACGUCGGCACUGACACACGGGCCAGACUCCUACGGGAGGCAGCAGUCGGGAAUAUUGCCCAAUGGACGAAAGUCUGAGGCAGCAACGCCGCGUGCGCGAUGAAGGCCUUCGGGCGUAAAGCGCUUUUCGGGAGAUGAGACAGGACAGUACUACCCGGAAUAAACGGUACGACUAACGUACCGUGCCAAGCAACGCCGC
This 489-nucleotide ribosomal RNA is filed under the name uncultured soil bacterium. RNAcentral's name for it is "bacterial SSU rRNA". It matches the Rfam family "Bacterial small subunit ribosomal RNA", at positions 26 to 518 of the family's 1533-position model. The record is from RNAcentral.